UACGUAGGGGGCAAGCGUUGUCCGGAUUUAUUGGGCGUAAAGAGCGUGUAGGCGGUUUGGUAGGUCCGCUGUGAAAACUCGAGGCUCAACCUCGAGACGCCGGUGGAAACCAUCAGACUAGAGUCCGGAAGAGGAGAGUGGAAUUCCUGGUGUAGCGGUGAAAUGCGCAGAUAUCAGGAAGAACACCCGGGGCUAAGGCGGCUCUCUAGUACGGUACUGACGCUGAGACGCGAAAGCGUGGGGAGCGAACAGG
This 253-nucleotide ribosomal RNA is filed under the name uncultured bacterium. Its description in RNAcentral is "partial 16S ribosomal RNA". It matches the Rfam family "Bacterial small subunit ribosomal RNA", at positions 524 to 776 of the family's 1533-position model. The record is from RNAcentral.